GUCGAACGGUAACAGGCCGCAUGGUGCUGACGAGUGGCGAACGGGUGAGUAAUGCAUCGGAACGUGCCCAGUCGUGGGGGAUAACGCAGCGAAAGCUGUGCUAAUACCGCAUACGAUCUAUGGAUGAAAGCGGGGGACCGUAAGGCCUCGCGCGAUUGGAGCGGCCGAUGUCAGAUUAGGUAGUUGGUGGGGUAAAGGCCUACCAAGCCAACGAUCUGUAGCUGGUCUGAGAGGACGACCAGCCACACUGGGACUGAGACACGGCCCACACUCCUACGGGAGGCAGCAGUGGGGAAUUUUGGACAAUGGGCGCAAGCCUGAUCCAGCAAUGCCGCGUGCAGGAAGAAGGCCUUCGGGUUGUAAACUGCUUUUGUACGGAACGAAACGGUCUGGAUUAAUACCCUGGGCUAAUGACGGUACCGUAAGAAUAAGCACCGGCUAACUACGUGCCAGCAGCCGCGGUAAUACGUAGGGUGCAAGCGUUAAUCGGAAUUACUGGGCGUAAAGCGUGCGCAGGCGGUUUUGUAGACAGGCGUGAAAUCCCCGGGCUCUCCUGGGAAUUGCGCUUGUGACUGCAGGCUGGAGUGCGCAGAGGGGGAUGGAAUUCCUCGUGUACAGUGAAAUGCGUAGAUAUGCGGAGGACACCGAUGGCGAAGGAAUCCCCUGGGCCUGCACUGACACUCAUGCACGAAAGCGUGGGGAGCAAACAGGAUUAGAUACCCUGGUAGUCCACGCCCUAAACGAUGUCUACUGGUUGUUGGGAAUUUCUUUCUCAUUAACGAACUAACGCGUGAAGUUGACGCCUGGGGAGUACGGCCGCAGGUUGAACUCAUAG
This 835-nucleotide ribosomal RNA is filed under the name Hydrogenophaga sp. 8H-B12-175A. RNAcentral describes it as "bacterial SSU rRNA". It matches the Rfam family "Bacterial small subunit ribosomal RNA", at positions 61 to 906 of the family's 1533-position model. The record is from RNAcentral. Lineage: Bacteria; Pseudomonadati; Pseudomonadota; Betaproteobacteria; Burkholderiales; Comamonadaceae.